UUUUUUUUUAAAUCUUUUUUUUUUAUUUGGUAUGAUUCUCUCAAUUUUUUAAUUGGCGUUGUUCAUUUUGUUAUUAACUAAGAAACUUUGAUGCCGAUGUCGUUUUGUUGUUAAGAUGCUUUAUAUGGCAUCUUGGUUUUAAUGCUGGAAUAUGGCAUUUUGCCAGGCGUUUUAAUGCAAAUUCUUGCUUUGGAUUCUCUGGAUUCCUUAUUGUUUUCUCGUAUUUUUGUUUUUAAAGUUUUUAAGGAAUUAUUUUAAAUAAAAUAUCGGAUCUUGUAUUCUUGUUUGACCGCACAUUUAAAGCAGGAAGCAGUCGCUGGUAUAUUCGUAAGGAAAAGUUCAAUUGUUGUGAUCAUUAAUUUAAUAUGGAACAUUAUACUAGUCAAAAUAGCUAUUCAUAUAAACCUUGCAAAUAUUUCUCCAAGCAUUAAUUUCCCCCACUGGAAUCAAAGUGGGUCGUUGCAAGCUCAUUAGGGGGACGAGGUCAAAAUAGUUGGCGUCCGUCCCUCAAUAGCUGUGGUGCGUUUGCACUAGCCAGUGGCCAUUGAUGUGGAGGCGGCAGCCAUACUAUUUUUUGUUUGUACUGAAAUGAUUCUGUUACCGUCAGAAAUGAGUUGUCUGAUGCGUCUGUGGGAGCACCUCGGUGUUUUCCUGAGGCCACCACCGCUAUUUUUUUUUUUUUUUUUAAUUUCAGUUUCCUAUGAUGUUUCUUCAAAAUGCUCAUGAGACUACAUAUUAUGUUGAAGACAAUUGAAUAAUGAGUGCGGAUAAGAGGUUGAGCUCUAACACAAUAGUAACUUUGCUCUUUUGUGAGCAGAAGGUCAUGAUUUUGAGUUGUGAGAAUAGUCUUUCUGUAAAAUAUAAAGGGAAACCUAUGUAGGAUAAAUGACCCCUUCCUCCGAUGAUUCAAUCUUUAGCUGUUUGAUAUGCUCAAUUUGUUUGUGCUUUUGAGAAGAUUUUGAGGCAGUUUUUUAAAGCAAUAAGAGAUUUUUAUGGUUAAAAGGUAGUCAUUGUUUACUGAGGACCUUGGAUUGUCUCAAACACCUCAUUAUAGAACAGUUCUAUCAUAUGUGUGUCCAUCACAAACUAAUCAUUCAUCCUUACUCAGCUAGCUAAUAUAUUCUCUAUUGAAAGUCAUCACUAAUGGGAAAUGUGACACUUGC
This 1163-nucleotide unclassified non-coding RNA is filed under the name Hevea brasiliensis (rubber tree). The record is from RNAcentral. Lineage: Eukaryota; Viridiplantae; Streptophyta; Magnoliopsida; Malpighiales; Euphorbiaceae.